Molecule: small nucleolar RNA, 144 nt
Organism: Grammomys surdaster
Lineage: Eukaryota; Metazoa; Chordata; Mammalia; Rodentia; Muridae
Product: small nucleolar RNA SNORA48
Exons: 1
Source: RefSeq, a predicted model, not a curated record
UACUCCUGGCAAUGAUCAAAGAGACACCUUGUUGGUGAUAUUGUUCAUAUAUUAGUCAGGGGCAGAGCAGAUGGCAAUCUAUUGUUCAUGCUAACUUGAUGUCUGGCUUAGUGGCCAAAGCUGUCUUGUGCCUAGGCCUCAUAA